Molecule: ribosomal RNA, 406 nt
Filed under: uncultured bacterium
Lineage: Bacteria
Description: partial 16S ribosomal RNA
Rfam family: Bacterial small subunit ribosomal RNA
Source: RNAcentral
AUUGAACGCUGGCGGCAGGCCUAACACAUGCAAGUCGAACGCGUGGCGGACGGGUGAGUAAUGUCUGGGAAACUGCCUGAUGGAGGGGGAUCACUACUGGAAACGGUAGCUAAUACCGCAUACCAUCGGAUGUGCCCAGAUGGGAUUAGCUAGGAGGUGGGGUAACGGCUCACCUAGGCGACGAUCCCUAGCUGGUCUGAGAGGAUGACCAGCAACACUGGAACUGAGACACGGUCCAGACUCCUACGGGAGGCAGCAGUGGGGAAUAUUGCACAAUGGGCGCAAGCCUGAUACAGCCAUGCCGCGUGUAUGAAGAAGGCCUUCGGGUUGUAAAGUACUUUCAGCGAGGAGGCGUUACUCGCAGAAGAAGCACCGGCUAACUCCGUGCCAGCAGCCGCGGUAAUUC